CAGAGCCGCGGUAAUACAGAGGUCCCAAGCGUUGUUCGGAAUCACUGGGCGUAAAGGGUGCGUAGGCGGCGCGGAAAGUCAGGGGUGAAAUCCCGGAGCUCAACUCCGGAACUGCCUUUGAUACUCCCGCGCUUGAGAACUGGAGGGGAGACCGGAAUUCACGGUGGAGCAGUGAAAUGCGUGGAUAUCGUGAGGAACACUAGUGGCGAAGGCGGGUCUCUGGACAGUAUCUGACGCUGAGGCACGAAGGCCAGGGGAGCGAACGGGAUUAGAGACCCCAGUAGUCCCUGUCUCUUAUACA
Molecule: ribosomal RNA, 301 nt
Filed under: uncultured bacterium
Lineage: Bacteria
Description: partial 16S ribosomal RNA
Rfam family: Bacterial small subunit ribosomal RNA
Source: RNAcentral